UGCUUUUUCCCAUGGUUUCAGAAUUUUAAUCAAUUAUAUAUUAACUAGUACUGGCCAAGUGGAAACAGCUCUUUUUAUUUUUUUCCACAGGAGACUUUUAACAGUGCUAAGUGCUGAAGUCCAUUGAAGCCUCCAAAGGGAAGUGGCUUUGUCACACUGAGAAGUCAAGAACUGCACUGAUACCCAGAUGCUGAAACUUCUAUCCUCCUGGUACUUUGGAAAGAAAAAGAGAUGCAUGAUCCUAC
Molecule: long non-coding RNA, 245 nt
Filed under: Gallus gallus (chicken)
Lineage: Eukaryota; Metazoa; Chordata; Aves; Galliformes; Phasianidae
Source: RNAcentral